RNAcentral lists this ribosomal RNA (494 nucleotides) under uncultured bacterium. RNAcentral describes it as "partial 16S ribosomal RNA". It matches the Rfam family "Bacterial small subunit ribosomal RNA", at positions 28 to 507 of the family's 1533-position model. The record is from RNAcentral.
GACGAACGCUGGCGGCGUGCUUAACACAUGCAAGUCGAACGGUGAAGCGCCUUCCUUUUUGGUGGGUGUGGAUGAGUGGCGAACGGGUGAGUAACACGUGAGUAACCUGCCCCCUUCUUCUGGAUAACCGCAUGAAAGUGUGGCUAAUACGGGAUAUUCUGGGUCUGUCGCAUGAUGGGUCUGGGAAAGAUAUUGUUUCGGUGGGGGAUGGGCUCGCGGCCUAUCAGCUUGUUGGUGGGGUGAUGGCCUACCAAGGCGGUGACGGGUAGCCGGCCUGAGAGGGUGGACGGUCACACGGGGACUGAGACACGGCCCAGACUCCUACGGGAGGCAGCAGUGGGGAAUAUUGCACAAUGGGCGCAAGCCUGAUGCAGCGACGCCGCGUGAGGGAUGGAGGCCUUCGGGUUGUGAACCUCUUUCGCCAGUGAAGCAGGCCUGCCUCGUUUGUGGGUGGGUUGACGGUGGCUGGAUAAGAAGCGCCGGCUAACUACGUG